RNAcentral lists this RNase P RNA (265 nucleotides) under Synechococcales cyanobacterium M55_K2018_004. RNAcentral's name for it is "Bacterial RNase P class A". It matches the Rfam family "Bacterial RNase P class A", at positions 1 to 217 of the family's 367-position model. Rfam says of the family: Ribonuclease P (RNase P) is a ubiquitous endoribonuclease, found in archaea, bacteria and eukarya as well as chloroplasts and mitochondria. Its best characterised activity is the generation of mature 5'-ends of tRNAs by cleaving the 5'-leader elements of precursor-tRNAs. The record is from Rfam by way of RNAcentral. Lineage: Bacteria; Bacillati; Cyanobacteriota; Cyanophyceae; Synechococcales.
AGAGGAGGCGAGGCGGUUGCAGACGCAAGUCUGAGGAAAGUCCGGGCUUCCGAAAGACCAAACCUGCUGGAUAACGUCCAGUGCGCGCGAGCGUGAGGAAAGUGCCACAGAAACAUACCGCCCAGGUAACUGUUGGAGUUGCGAUGGGCGAUUUUGGACGCAAGCCAAAAUCCACAAUCCAAAAUCCACAAUCUGGGUAAGGGUGCAAAGGUGCGGUAAGAGCGCACCAGCAGCAUCGAGAGGUGCUGGCUCGGUAAACCCCGGU